RNAcentral lists this ribosomal RNA (406 nucleotides) under uncultured bacterium. RNAcentral describes it as "partial 16S ribosomal RNA". It matches the Rfam family "Bacterial small subunit ribosomal RNA", at positions 30 to 526 of the family's 1533-position model. The record is from RNAcentral.
AUUGAACGCUGGCGGCAGGCCUAACACAUGCAAGUCGAGCGAGCGGCGGACGGGUGAGUAAUGUAUGGGAAACUGCCUGAUGGAUGGGGAUAACUACUGGAAACGGUAGCUAAUACCGCAUACCAUCAGAUGUGCCCAGAUGGGAUUAGCUAGUAGGUGGGGUAACGGCUCACCUAGGCGACGAUCCCUAGCUGGUCUGAGAGGAUGACGAGCCACACUGGGACUGAGACACGGUCCAGACUCCUACGGGAGGCAGCAGUGGGGAAUAUUGCACAAUGGGCGCAAGCCUGAUGCAGCCAUGCCGCGUGUAUGAAGAAGGCCUUCGGGUUGUAAAGUACUUUCAGCGGGGAGGCGUUACCCGCAGAAGAAGCACCGGCUAACUCCGUGCCAGCAGCCGCGGUAAUUC